ACUGGGCAUGGUGGUGCACGCCUGUAAUUCUGGCUGCUCAGAAAGCUGAGGCAGGAGGAUGAGGAUGGCAAAUUCAAGGCCACUCUGGGCACCCUAGUGAGAUCCUGUCUCAA
This 113-nucleotide small RNA is filed under the name Marmota monax (woodchuck). Lineage: Eukaryota; Metazoa; Chordata; Mammalia; Rodentia; Sciuridae. The record is from RNAcentral.